UUUUUUUAAAUCAAAUAUAAAAACUGAACAUUAGGUUAAUUGCUGUCAUUAGAGAAGAAAAACACAUAUGUAAGGUAUAAGAAAUUGAGUGGGUUAGGGUAUGUGAUCCAGUGGCAAAUAGUACAUGCAUAUCAGAUCAAGAACAUCUUAUUGCUGCAUGAAAAUUGAUAUAUAAAGAGCAAAUAAGUGUUGUAUUAUUAAUUUGCUGCCUACAAAAUAACAUUUAUAUUCACAAAAUAAUAAUAAAAAAAGACAACAG
This 259-nucleotide long non-coding RNA is filed under the name Mytilus galloprovincialis (Mediterranean mussel). Lineage: Eukaryota; Metazoa; Mollusca; Bivalvia; Mytilida; Mytilidae. The record is from RNAcentral.